Molecule: long non-coding RNA, 449 nt
Organism: Teleopsis dalmanni
Lineage: Eukaryota; Metazoa; Arthropoda; Insecta; Diptera; Diopsidae
Exons: 10
Source: RefSeq, a predicted model, not a curated record
GCCCAGAUGCAACUUAUAAUGUAAAUCAAUGUCCAGAUGCAACUUAUGAUGUCAAUCCAUGUCCAGAUGCAACUUAUGAUGUCAAUCAAUGUCCAGAUGCAACUUAUGAUGUAAAUCCAUGUCCAGAUGCAACUUAUGAUAUUAAUCCAUGUCCAGAUGCAACUUAUGAUGUAAAUCCAUAUGCAGAUGCAACUUAUGAUGUUAAUUCAUGUCCAGACGCAACCUAUGAUGUAAAUCAAUACCACGAUGCAACCUAUAAUGUAGAUAGCACCGCUUAAGGUUUAUGAGAACAAAGUGGGAAUCAGCAAAAGAAGACGGCAACCACGAAAACGAUGGAAAGACACAGUGCAGCAGAAAUUGGAAAACUGUUGUUAAACAGGCUUAUGUCCUACUUGGACUGUAUAGUCACGAAUGAUGAUGACGACAUUUUAUAAAAUAUUCAAUAUAUA